This 253-nucleotide ribosomal RNA is filed under the name uncultured bacterium. RNAcentral's name for it is "partial 16S ribosomal RNA". It matches the Rfam family "Bacterial small subunit ribosomal RNA", at positions 524 to 776 of the family's 1533-position model. The record is from RNAcentral.
UACGAGGGGUGCAAGCGUUGCUCGGAAUUAUUGGGCGUAAAGGGUAGGUAGGUGGUCUCAUUUGUCAGGGGUGAAAUCCUUGGGCUUAACUCAAGAAGUGCCCCUGAAACGGUGAGACUCGAGUCCUGGAGAGGGUCGUGGAAUUCCCGGUGUAGCGGUGAAAUGCGUAGAUAUGCGGAGGAACACCGAUGGCGAAGGCAAUCCCCUGGGCCUGCACUGACGCUCAUGCACGAAAGCGUGGGGAGCAAACAGG